GAUGAACGCUGGUGGCGUGCCUAAUACAUGCAAGUCGAGCGAACGGACGAGAAGCUUGCUUCUCUGAUGUUAGCGGCGGACGGGUGAGUAACACGUGGAUAACCUACCUAUAAGACUGGGAUAACUUCGGGAAACCGGAGCUAAUACCGGAUAAUAUUUUGAACCGCAUGGUUCAAAAGUGAAAGACGGUCUUGCUGUCACUUAUAGAUGGAUCCGCGCUGCAUUAGCUAGUUGGUAAGGUAACGGCUUACCAAGGCAACGAUGCAUAGCCGACCUGAGAGGGUGAUCGGCCACACUGGAACUGAGACACGGUCCAGACUCCUACGGGAGGCAGCAGUAGGGAAUCUUCCGCAAAGGGCGAAAGCCUGACGGAGCAACGCCGCGUGAGUGAUGAAGGUCUUCGGAUCGUAAAACUCUGUUAUUAGGGAAGAACAUAUGUGUAAGUAACUGUGCACAUCUUGACGGUACCUAAUCAGAAAGCCACGGCUAACUACGUG
Molecule: ribosomal RNA, 497 nt
Filed under: uncultured bacterium
Lineage: Bacteria
Description: partial 16S ribosomal RNA
Rfam family: Bacterial small subunit ribosomal RNA
Source: RNAcentral